UUAACUCAAAUUUGUAUGGAGUUGGAACAGUUCCACUACGUUUGCCGCUAGGGGCGCUCGUCUAACUCCAUACAAAUUUGAGUUC
Bombyx mori (domestic silkworm) is the source of this 85-nucleotide non-coding RNA. The record is from Rfam. NCBI's taxonomy places the organism in Eukaryota, Metazoa, Arthropoda, Insecta, Lepidoptera, Bombycidae.